ACGAACGCUGGCGGCAUGCCUAACACAUGCAAGUCGAACGAGACCUUCGGGUCUAGUGGCGCACGGGUGCGUAACGCGUGGGAAUCUGCCCUUGGGUUCGGAAUAACAGUUAGAAAUGACUGCUAAUACCGGAUGAUGUCUUCGGACCAAAGAUUUAUCGCCUGAAGAGGGGCCCGCGUCCGAUUAGGUAGUUGGUGAGGUAAUGGCUCACCAAGCCGACGAUCGGUAGCUGGUCUGAGAGGAUGAUCAGCCACACUGGGACUGAGAUACGGCCCAGACUCCUACGGGAGGCAGCAGUGGGGAAUAUUGGACAAUGGGGGCAACCCUGAUCCAGCAAUGCCGCGUGAGUGAUGAAGGCCUUAGGGUUGUAAAGCUCUUUUGCCAGGGAAGAUGAUGACUGUACCUGGAGAAUAAGCCCCGGCUAACUUCGU
Molecule: ribosomal RNA, 431 nt
Filed under: uncultured bacterium
Lineage: Bacteria
Description: bacterial SSU rRNA
Rfam family: Bacterial small subunit ribosomal RNA
Source: RNAcentral